This 78-nucleotide transfer RNA is filed under the name Nanobdellota archaeon. RNAcentral's name for it is "tRNA-Leu". It matches the Rfam family "tRNA". From Rfam's summary of the family: Transfer RNA (tRNA) molecules are approximately 80 nucleotides in length. Their secondary structure includes four short double-helical elements and three loops (D, anti-codon, and T loops). Further hydrogen bonds mediate the characteristic L-shaped molecular structure. tRNAs have two regions of fundamental functional importance: the anti-codon, which is responsible for specific mRNA codon recognition, and the 3' end, to which the tRNAs corresponding amino acid is attached (by aminoacyl-tRNA synthetases). tRNAs cope with the degeneracy of the genetic code in two manners: having more than one tRNA (with a specific anti-codon) for a particular amino acid; and 'wobble' base-pairing, i.e. permitting non-standard base-pairing at the 3rd anti-codon position. Lineage: Archaea; Nanobdellati; Nanobdellota. The record is from RNAcentral.
GCUCCCAUCGUCUAGACCGGUCAAGGAUCCGGGCCUUAAAAGCCCGUGACCUGGGUUCAAAUCCCAGUGGGAGCACCA